Molecule: ribosomal RNA, 450 nt
Filed under: uncultured Glomeromycotina
Lineage: Eukaryota; Fungi; Glomeromycota
Description: SSU rRNA
Rfam family: Eukaryotic small subunit ribosomal RNA
Source: RNAcentral
AGCAGCCGCGGUAAUUCCAGCUCCAAUAGCGUAUAUUAAAGUUGCUGCAGUUAAAAAGCUCGUAGUUGAAUUUCGGGAUCGAUAUAUCGGUCGUGCCUCGGUACGUACUGGUAUUUUCGGUUUCUACCUUCUGACGAACCUUGAUGUCAUUAAUUUGGUGUCUUGGGGAAUCAGGACUGUUACUUUGAAAAAAUUAGAGUGUUUAAAGCAGGCCCACGCUUGAAUACAUUAGCAUGGAAUAAUGAAAUAGGACGUUUGAUUCUAUUUUGUUGGUUUCUAGGAUCGACGUAAUGAUUAAUAGGGAUAGUUGGGGGCAUUAGUAUUCAAUUGUCAGAGGUGAAAUUCUUGGAUUUAUUGAAGACUAACUACUGCGAAAGCAUUUGCCAAGGAUGUUUUCAUUAAUCAAGAACGAAAGUUAGGGGAUCGAAGACGAUCAGAUACCGUCGUAGU